CUCUUCAUUUUUUCUCUCCUUCCCCCUCUUCUCCCUUCCUUUUUGCCCCUUUUCCCUCCCUUUUUCCUCCCUUUUUGCCCCCUUUCCCAUGUUUUCCCCAUGUUUUUUCCGUAUUUUUCCCACAUUUUUCCCCAUAUUUUCCCCAUGUUUUUCCCCAUAUUUUCCCCAUGUUUUUCCCCAUGUUUUCCCCAUGUUUUUCCUGUGUUUUUCCCCGUGUUUUUCCCAUAUUUUUCUCAUAUUUUUCCAAUGUUUUUCCUGUAUGUUUUCCCCAUGUUUUUCCUGUGUUUUUCCCCGUGUUUUUCCCAUAUUUUUCUCAUAUUUUUCCAAUGUUUUUCCUGUGUUUUCCCCAUAUUUUUCCCCGUGUUUUUCCCGUGUUUUUCCCCCUUUUUUUUCCCCAUGUUUUUCCCAUAUUUUCCCCAUAUUUUCCCCGUGUUUUUCCCCAUGUUUUUCCCCAUGUUUUUCCCAUAUUUUCCCCAUGUUUUUCCCAUGUUUUCCCCAUGUUUUUCCCAUGUUUUCCCCAUGUUUUUCCCCAUGUUUUUCCCCAUGUUUUCCCCAUGUUUUUCCCCAUGUUUUCCCCAUGUUUUUCCCCAUGUUUUUCCCCAUGUUUUCCCCAUAUUUUCCCCGUGUUUUCCCCACGUUUUUCCCAUAUUUUCCCUGUGUUUUUCCCCAUGUUUUCCCCAUGUUUUCCCCACGUUUUUCCCAUAUUUUCCCCAUGUUUUUCCCCGUGUUUUUCCCCAUGUUUUUCCCCAUAUUUUCCCCAUGUUUUUCCCAUGCUUUCCCCAUGUUUUCCCCAUGUUUUUCCCCGUGUUUUUCCCCAUGCUUUCCCCAUGUUUUCCCCAUGUUUUUCCCCAUGUUUUCCCCAUGUUUUCCCGUGUUUUUCCCCCUUUUCCUCACCCGUGGUGGAGUUGGGGAGCCUCUUCUUGCCGCUGCCGCUGGAGAUGCGCUGCUGGAGAGCCUCGAAGAAGGACUGGGGGAUGUGGAACACCAGCGGCUCUGGGCGGCCUGGGAGGGGCACAGAGGGGUCAGGAAAAGGGUUGGGGGUCCCAAAUCCUCAUCCCAAAGGGUCCCUGGGGCCCAUGGGAUCAGCAGGGGUUGAAUUCCCCGGGAAAUGUCUGGGAUUUGGAGGCUGACCCCUCGCUGUUGCUGUUCUGGGUGGUGGUGGUGGUGGUGGGAGGUGUGGAUGGAGUUUGGGUGUUCCCAAAAUGGCAAAAAAAAAGGGACACAGCGUUCCCAAAAUGGCAACAAAAGUGUUAAUAAAUGGCACCAGAAAUGUUCCCAAAAAGGCACCAAAAAUAUUCCCAAAAAGACACCAAAUAUCCCCAAAAAGGCAACAAAAGCCUUCCCAAAACAGCACCAAAACUAUUCCCAAAAAGACACCAAAUAUCCCCAAAAAGGACACAGCAUUCCUAAAAUGGCACCAAAAGUGUUCCCAAAAAGGACACAGCAUUCCAAACAUGGCAUCAAAAGAAUUCCCCAAAAGGCCACAGAAGUCUUUCCAAAAUGGCACUAAAAGUGUUCCCCAAAAGACACCAUCCCCAAAAAGGACACAGCAUUCCCUAAAUGGCACCAAAAAAUGUUAACAAAUGGCACCAGAAAUGUUCCCAAAAUGGCAC
RNAcentral lists this long non-coding RNA (1613 nucleotides) under Cyanistes caeruleus (blue tit). RNAcentral's name for it is "lncRNA (ENSCCEG00000004326.1)". Lineage: Eukaryota; Metazoa; Chordata; Aves; Passeriformes; Paridae. The record is from RNAcentral.